This 771-nucleotide long non-coding RNA is filed under the name Numida meleagris (helmeted guineafowl). RNAcentral's name for it is "lncRNA (ENSNMEG00000021226.1)". Lineage: Eukaryota; Metazoa; Chordata; Aves; Galliformes; Numididae. The record is from RNAcentral.
GCCUAACAGGAGUUUCCCUUAAGAAUAUAUUCACUGAAAACAUGCUAGAUGUUCCUCAAAUGUCAACAAAACAGAUUGUUAGGCAGAGAGUUACAAAAUCCCUCCUGAUUCUGAACUUUGAUAGACUAAAGCAGCACUGCCUGUUUCAAUAGAUGGGAGUAGGCUAAAACUAGGCACAUUGGAGUCAAUGAGAAGUAUAUCAGCAUCCCUUCUGUGGCAACAUUAAUGAAAAAAAAAAAACACCAAAACUAUUUUAAAGCGCAGGUAUUGCUGCUACCCACAGACAGCCUGGAUGAAACUCUAGUUUUACCACAUCUAUGGGAACUGUACUAUUGAUGUUCAGAUGGGUCAGUAUUGUACCUCAUGCAUAAAAACCUUCACAGUAGGUUUGAAAGUUUUCAUUUUUCUGGCAUCUAGGGACCAAACAGGUGAGUAGGCUAUGAGAGGGACAGCAGGGAUGUUUCUUUUGGCUUGGCCCAAUGUAGAUUCAGCAUGUGUCACAAAGAGUCUCAGACUCAAAAGGCUCAUGCAAAGACGCGUCUGCUGUUUCAACCCAAAGGCUGUAGCAAGUCUUGUGCACCAUUUAUACAGAUAUUUUGGAGGAAGAAUCUGUCCCACACACUUCCAUCCAGUGUCCCCAAGGAAGCGCUCAAGACUAACGAAAAGCUGAACAGUUUCUCUAAAACCUUGGGGAUCUUCUAUCAGCUGUGCCAUGUACACCAGUGUUUUGUGACUUCUCUUGGGACUAACAAAAAAUACUUGCAUUUUUAG